GCGCCCUUAGCUCAACUAGGCAGAGCAACUGACUCUUAAUCAGUAGGUUGAAGUUUCGAUUCCUUCAGGGCGUACCA
RNAcentral lists this transfer RNA (77 nucleotides) under Candidatus Eiseniibacteriota bacterium. RNAcentral's name for it is "tRNA-Lys". It matches the Rfam family "tRNA". From Rfam's summary of the family: Transfer RNA (tRNA) molecules are approximately 80 nucleotides in length. Their secondary structure includes four short double-helical elements and three loops (D, anti-codon, and T loops). Lineage: Bacteria; Candidatus Eiseniibacteriota. The record is from RNAcentral.